Molecule: long non-coding RNA, 767 nt
Organism: Herpailurus yagouaroundi (jaguarundi)
Lineage: Eukaryota; Metazoa; Chordata; Mammalia; Carnivora; Felidae
Exons: 2
Source: RefSeq, a predicted model, not a curated record
UCGGAUGCUUAACUGACUGAGCCACCCAGGCGCCCCCGUCCUUUUCUUAUUUGAUUUUUGGGGGCCAAACUUGGCAUUGUUGACCAUUGCAGAUGGCCGAGGCUGCGUCAGGCAGACACCCCAAAACCUUGGGAGAUGGGAGCAUUGUCUUUCACCCAGAUGUUCCUCAGGGAGAACAUGUGAGCAGCACUCCUGGGCGCAGUAUGUGGGUGCCCGUUCCAGAGGCCGGAACAGUGGUGAAGGAACAAGUAAACACAAGCUACUGGGUCAGCCAGACCCAGAAAGGAUGCAGGAGCCUCGGGGGAGGCGGCUGUGUGGGUGGGAUGUUACCAGAAGGAUGGCGGAGCCAAGGCAGAAUGACUUAUCAAGACGAUGCAGCCAAGAGGUGGCUGCCGCGUCCAGUCCAUGGCGCUGGACUCCAGGCCAGGGGAGGGGGGCGGCCAAGAAGCCCCAGGCAGAGGCUCGACUUCCUGGACAAGGGACGGGCUGGACCGUGGCCCAGCAGGAAGCAGCUUGGACUCUGAAAAUCUGAGUGAGCUCAGAGAAGACUUCCCUGGGGCCAGCAUGAACCAAAGGCCUUGGACUAGGUCCACAUGAUCCAGGGAAAGAAGGUUGGUUGGAUGUAAGCCACCCCCUCGAGGGAGCCUACCCACGACUAAGACUAACACCAGUACCCAGAACACAGAGCCAGGACACAGGCCAGGUGGAUCCCAGCUGAUGUUCGGUACCCUGGACUUUUCAGUUACAGAAAUUAAUCUUGAUUUCUG